This 253-nucleotide ribosomal RNA is filed under the name uncultured bacterium. RNAcentral describes it as "partial 16S ribosomal RNA". It matches the Rfam family "Bacterial small subunit ribosomal RNA", at positions 524 to 776 of the family's 1533-position model. The record is from RNAcentral.
UACGAAGGGUGCAAACGUUGCUCGGAAUUAUUGGGCGUAAAGCGCACGUAGGCGGCUUUGCAAGUCGGCUGUGAAAUCCCUCGGCUUAACCAAGGAAGUGCAUCCGAAACUGCAGAGCUUGAGUACUUAAGAGGAUCGCGGAAUUCCCGGUGUAGAGGUGAAAUUCGUAGAUAUCGGGAGGAACACCAGUGGCGAAGGCGGCGAUCUGGGAAGAUACUGACGCUGAGGUGCGAAAGCGUGGGGAGCAAACAGG